RNAcentral lists this ribosomal RNA (205 nucleotides) under uncultured bacterium. RNAcentral's name for it is "partial 16S ribosomal RNA". It matches the Rfam family "Bacterial small subunit ribosomal RNA", at positions 570 to 774 of the family's 1533-position model. The record is from RNAcentral.
CGUAGGCGGCUUUAUAAGUCAGAUGUGAAAGUCCAUGGCUCAACUGUGGAAGUGCAUUUGAAACUGUGAAGCUUGAGUAUCGGAGGGGAGUGUGGAAUUCCCGGUGUAGAGGUGAAAUUCGUAGAGAUCGGGAGGAACACCGGUGGCGAAGGCGACACUCUGGACGAAUACUGACGCUGAGGCGCGAAAGCGUGGGGAGCAAACA